RNAcentral lists this ribosomal RNA (252 nucleotides) under uncultured bacterium. RNAcentral describes it as "partial 16S ribosomal RNA". It matches the Rfam family "Bacterial small subunit ribosomal RNA", at positions 525 to 776 of the family's 1533-position model. The record is from RNAcentral.
ACGGAGGAUCCAAGCGUUAUCCGGAUUCAUUGGGUUUAAAGGGUGCGUAGGCGGAUUAAUAAGUUAGUGGUGAAAGACUGUGGCUCAACCAUAGAACUGCCAUUAAUACUGUUAGUCUUGAGUACAUUUGAAGUGGGCGGAAUACGACAUGUAGCGGUGAAAUGCAUAGAUAUGUCGUAGAACACCGAUUGCGAAGGCAGCUCACUAAACUGUAACUGACGCUGAGGCACGAAAGCGUGGGGAGCGAACAGG